CCUACGGUGGGCAGCAGUGGGGGAUAUUGCACAAUGGGGGAAACCCUGAUGCAGCGACGCCGCGUGGGUGAAGAAGCGCCUCGGCGCGUAAAGCCCUGUCAGCAGGGAAGAAAAUGACGGUACCUGUAGAAGAAGCCCCGGCUAACUACGUGCCAGCAGCCGCGGUAAUACGUAGGGGGCAAGCGUUAUCCGGAUUUACUGGGUGUAAAGGGGGCGCAGACGGCGAUGCAAGCCAGGAGUGAAAGCCCGGGGCCCCACCCCGGGACUGCUCUUGGAACUGCGUGGCUAGCGUGCAGGAGGGGCAGGCGGAAUUCCUGGUGUAGCGGUGAAAUGCGUAGAUAUCAGGAGGAACACCGGUGGCGAAGGCGGCCUGCUGAGCUGCAACUGACGUUGCGGCCCGAAAGCGUGGGGAGCAAACAGGACUAGAUACCCCAGUAGUC
This 440-nucleotide ribosomal RNA is filed under the name uncultured bacterium. RNAcentral's name for it is "partial 16S ribosomal RNA". It matches the Rfam family "Bacterial small subunit ribosomal RNA", at positions 338 to 795 of the family's 1533-position model. The record is from RNAcentral.